UACGGAGGGUGCGAGCGUUGUCCGGAAUCAUUGGGCGUAAAGCGCGUGUAGACGGUCCGGUAAGUCGGCUGUGAAAGUCAAGGGCUCAACCCUUGAAUGCCGGCCGAUACUGCCGGACUAGAGUCCGGAAGAGGCGAGUGGAAUUCCCGGUGUAGCGGUGAAAUGCGCAGAUAUCGGGAGGAACACCAAUGGCGAAGGCAGCUCGCUGGGACGGUACUGACGCUGAGACGCGAAAGCGUGGGGAGCAAACAGGAUUAGAUACCCGUGUAGU
Molecule: ribosomal RNA, 271 nt
Filed under: uncultured bacterium
Lineage: Bacteria
Description: partial 16S ribosomal RNA
Rfam family: Bacterial small subunit ribosomal RNA
Source: RNAcentral